GGGUCGAUUUUCCAGCGGCCGAAGAUCCGUGCCUUGGGGGCACGAGACCGAGGUUCGAAUCCUCGUCAACCCA
Molecule: transfer RNA, 73 nt
Filed under: Haloarcula sp. Atlit-7R
Lineage: Archaea; Methanobacteriati; Methanobacteriota; Halobacteria; Halobacteriales; Haloarculaceae
Description: tRNA-Pro
Rfam family: tRNA
About the family: Transfer RNA (tRNA) molecules are approximately 80 nucleotides in length. Their secondary structure includes four short double-helical elements and three loops (D, anti-codon, and T loops).
Source: RNAcentral